RNAcentral lists this ribosomal RNA (800 nucleotides) under Bacillus sp. JSM 2155028. Its description in RNAcentral is "bacterial SSU rRNA". It matches the Rfam family "Bacterial small subunit ribosomal RNA", at positions 32 to 814 of the family's 1533-position model. Lineage: Bacteria; Bacillati; Bacillota; Bacilli; Caryophanales; Bacillaceae. The record is from RNAcentral.
GGCGGUGGGUGGGCCGCUAUCUAUAUGCAAGUCGAGCGGACAGAAGGGAGCUUGCUCCCGGAUGUUAGCGGCGGACGGGUGAGUAACACGUGGGUAACCUGCCUGUAAGACUGGGAUAACUCCGGGAAACCGGAGCUAAUACCGGAUAGUUCCUUGAACCGCAUGGUUCAAGGAUGAAAGACGGUUUCGGCUGUCACUUACAGAUGGACCCGCGGCGCAUUAGCUAGUUGGUGAGGUAACGGCUCACCAAGGCGACGAUGCGUAGCCGACCUGAGAGGGUGAUCGGCCACACUGGGACUGAGACACGGCCCAGACUCCUACGGGAGGCAGCAGUAGGGAAUCUUCCGCAAUGGACGAAAGUCUGACGGAGCAACGCCGCGUGAGUGAUGAAGGUUUUCGGAUCGUAAAGCUCUGUUGUUAGGGAAGAACAAGUGCAAGAGUAACUGCUUGCACCUUGACGGUACCUAACCAGAAAGCCACGGCUAACUACGUGCCAGCAGCCGCGGUAAUACGUAGGUGGCAAGCGUUGUCCGGAAUUAUUGGGCGUAAAGGGCUCGCAGGCGGUUUCUUAAGUCUGAUGUGAAAGCCCCCGGCUCAACCGGGGAGGGUCAUUGGAAACUGGGAAACUUGAGUGCAGAAGAGGAGAGUGGAAUUCCACGUGUAGCGGUGAAAUGCGUAGAGAUGUGGAGGAACACCAGUGGCGAAGGCGACUCUCUGGUCUGUAACUGACGCUGAGGAGCGAAAGCGUGGGGAGCGAACAGGAUUAGAUACCCUGGUAGUCCACGCCGUAAACGAUGAGU